Molecule: transfer RNA, 67 nt
Filed under: Marmota monax (woodchuck)
Lineage: Eukaryota; Metazoa; Chordata; Mammalia; Rodentia; Sciuridae
Description: tRNA.Ala
Source: RNAcentral
GUUGGGCUCAGUGGUAGAGCACUUGCCUAGCAUGUGUGAGGCACUGGGUUCAAUUCUCAGCACCACA